Molecule: ribosomal RNA, 374 nt
Filed under: uncultured organism
Description: bacterial SSU rRNA
Rfam family: Bacterial small subunit ribosomal RNA
Source: RNAcentral
CGGGGGGAGCAAGCGUUGUUCGGAUUUACUGGGCGUAAAGGGCGCGUAGGCGGUCAGCACUAGUCAGUUGUGAAAUCUCCGAGCUUAACUCGGAAAGGUCAACUGAUACUGUGCGACUAGAGUGCAGAAGGGGCAACUGGAAUUCUCGGUGUAGCGGUGAAAUGCGUAGAUAUCGAGAGGAACACCUGCGGCGAAGGCGGGUUGCUGGGCUGACACUGACGCUGAGGCGCGAAAGCUAGGGGAGCGAACGGGAUUAGAUACCCCGGUAGUCCUAGCCUUAAACGAUGAAUGCUUGGUGUCUGGGGUUAUAUAGUCCCCGGGUGCCGUCGCUAACGCUUUAAGCAUUCCGCCUGGGGAGUACGGUCGCAAGACUG